GCGGGGCGACGUGGCGGGCGCCUGUAGUCCCAGCUACUCGGGAGGCUGAGGCAGGAGAAUGGCGUGAACCCAGGAGGCAGAGCUUGCAGUGAGCCGAGAUCUGGCCACUGCACUCCAGCCUGGGCGGCAGAGCGAGACUCCGNNNNNNNNNNGGUUUCAAGCAAAUAUUGUCAAGAGUCCGAACUUUUUUUUUUGUUUUUUUGAGACGAGUCUCACUCUGUUCCCCAGGCUGGAGUGCAGUGGCCAGAUCUCUGCUCACUGCAAGCUCCGCCUCCCGGGUUCAUGCCAUUCUCCUGCCUCAG
This 302-nucleotide signal recognition particle RNA is filed under the name Chlorocebus sabaeus (green monkey). RNAcentral's name for it is "Metazoan signal recognition particle RNA". It matches the Rfam family "Metazoan signal recognition particle RNA". From Rfam's summary of the family: The signal recognition particle (SRP) is a universally conserved ribonucleoprotein. The record is from Rfam by way of RNAcentral. Lineage: Eukaryota; Metazoa; Chordata; Mammalia; Primates; Cercopithecidae.